Molecule: ribosomal RNA, 253 nt
Filed under: uncultured bacterium
Lineage: Bacteria
Description: partial 16S ribosomal RNA
Rfam family: Bacterial small subunit ribosomal RNA
Source: RNAcentral
UACGUAGGGGGCGAGCGUUGUCCGGAUUUAUUGGGCGUAAAGAGCGUGUAGGCGGCCAGGUAGGUCUGCUGUGAAAACUCGAGGCUCAACCUCGAGACGUCGGCGGAAACCAUCUGGCUAGAGUCCGGAAGAGGAGAGUGGAAUUCCUGGUGUAGCGGUGAAAUGCGCAGAUAUCAGGAAGAACACCCGUGGCGAAGGCGGCUCUCUGGGACGGUACUGACGCCGAGACGCGAAAGCGUGGGGAGCAAACAGG